AUGAACGCUAGCGACAGGCCUAACACAUGCAAGUCGAGGGGCAGCACAAGGAGCAAUCUGAGGUGGCGACCGGCGCACGGGUGAGUAACACGUAUGCAACCUGCCUGUAAGCGGGGAAUAACCCGUUGAAAGACGGACUAAUACCGCAUAAUACUAAAUUACUGCAUGGUAAUUUAUUUAAACAUUUAUGGCUUACAGAUGGGCAUGCGCAUGAUUGGCUAGUUGGAGAGGUAACGGCUCCCCAAGGCAACGAUCAUUAGGGGUUCUGAGAGGAAGGUCCCCCACACUGGUACUGAGACACGGACCAGACUCCUACGGGAGGCAGCAGUGAGGAAUAUUGGUCAAUGGACGAGAGUCUGAACCAGCCAAGUCGCGUGCAGGAAGAAUGUUCCCUAUGGAUUGUAAACUGCUUUUACAGGGGAAUAAAGUGCAUCACGUGUGAUGUUUUGUAUGUACUCUGCGAAUAAGGAUCGGCUAACUCCGUGCCAGCAGCAGC
RNAcentral lists this ribosomal RNA (496 nucleotides) under uncultured bacterium. RNAcentral's name for it is "bacterial SSU rRNA". It matches the Rfam family "Bacterial small subunit ribosomal RNA", at positions 29 to 518 of the family's 1533-position model. The record is from RNAcentral.